AGCCAGCUGCGUGAAUUAAUGUGAAUUGCAGGACACAUUGAACAUCGAUAUCUUGAACGCACAUUGCGGCCUCGGGCAAUCCCGAGGCCACGCCUGUCUCAGGGUCG
This 107-nucleotide ribosomal RNA is filed under the name Limnodrilus grandisetosus. Its description in RNAcentral is "partial 5.8S ribosomal RNA". It matches the Rfam family "5.8S ribosomal RNA", at positions 47 to 154 of the family's 154-position model. From Rfam's summary of the family: 5.8S ribosomal RNA (5.8S rRNA) is a component of the large subunit of the eukaryotic ribosome. It is transcribed by RNA polymerase I as part of the 45S precursor that also contains 18S and 28S rRNA. Functionally, it is thought that 5.8S rRNA may be involved in ribosome translocation. The record is from RNAcentral. Lineage: Eukaryota; Metazoa; Annelida; Clitellata; Tubificida; Naididae.